CGAUUUGAAUCGUGUUUGGGUGCCCCGCAAGGGCGUAACAGGGAAGUCCGGUGCAAGACCGGCGCGGACCCGCCACUGUAUGUGAGGAGCCGCCCUCCGUUCCUAACCACUCAACAUGCGCGUUGAGGAAGGUUGAGGGCCGUGUUGAAGGGCCGUCCUUUCGACACUCACGAGCCAGGAGACCUACCCAAGCAUCCAAGGCUAU
RNAcentral lists this non-coding RNA (205 nucleotides) under Nitrospira japonica. The record is from RNAcentral. Lineage: Bacteria; Pseudomonadati; Nitrospirota; Nitrospiria; Nitrospirales; Nitrospiraceae.